AGAGUUUGAUCAUGGCUCAGGACGAACGCUGGCGGCGCGCUUAACACAUGCAAGUCGAGCGAGAACCUGGCCUUCGGGCCUGGGGAAAGCGGCGAACGGGUGAGUAACACGUGGGUAACCCACCCUUGGUACCGGGAUAGCCCGGGGAAACCCGGAUUAAUACCGGAUGGCCCAACAGCUCUUCGGGGCGGUUGGAAAAGGUAGCUUCGGCCUCCGACCAAGGACGGGCCCGCGGUGGAUUAGCUUGUUGGUGAGGUAACGGCUCACCAAGGCGACGAUCCAUAGCUGGUCUGAGAGGACGAUCAGCCACACUGGGACUGAGACACGGCCCAGACUCCUACGGGAGGCAGCAGUGGGGAAUCUUGCGCAAUGGGCGAAAGCCUGACGCAGCGACGCCGCGUGGGGGAAGAAGGCUUUCGGGUUGUAAACCCCUUUCAGGAGAGACGAAGCCACUCAGGUUAAUAGCCGAGAGGGUGACGGUACCUCCAGAAGAAGCCCCGGCUAACUACGUGCCAGCCGCCGCGGUAAUAC
This 531-nucleotide ribosomal RNA is filed under the name uncultured bacterium. Its description in RNAcentral is "bacterial SSU rRNA". It matches the Rfam family "Bacterial small subunit ribosomal RNA", at positions 8 to 526 of the family's 1533-position model. The record is from RNAcentral.